Molecule: ribosomal RNA, 556 nt
Filed under: uncultured archaeon
Lineage: Archaea
Description: bacterial SSU rRNA
Rfam family: Archaeal small subunit ribosomal RNA
Source: RNAcentral
CCCUACGGGGCGCAGCAGGCGCGAAAACUUCGCAAUGCGGGAAACCGUGACGAGGGGAUCCCAAGUGCCCAUACAAUGUAUGGGCUUUUCUGGUGUGUAAAUAGCAUUAGGAAUAAGGGCUGGGUAAGACCGGUGCCAGCCGCCGCGGUAAUACCGGCAGCUCAAGUGGUAGCCACUAUUAUUGGGCCUAAAGCGUUCGUAGCCGGUCAGGUAAAUCCUUGGGUAAAUCGUACAGCUUAACUGUGCGGCUUCCGAGGAGACUGCUUGACUUGGGACCGGGAGAGGUUGGAGGUACUCCUGGGGUAGGGGUGAAAUCCUGUAAUCCUAGGUGGACCACCGGUGGCGAGGGCGUCCAACCAGAACGGCUCCGACGGUGAGGAACGAAGGCUAGGGGCGCAAACCGGAUUAGAUACCCGGGUAGUCCUAGCUGUAAACGCUGCAGACUUGGUGUUGGAGGUCCUACGAGGGUGUCCAGUGCCGAAGAGAAGUUGUUAAGUUUGCCGCCUGGGAAGUAUGGCCGCAAGGCUGAAACUUAAAGGAAUUGGCGGGGGAGCAC